AGGAAGGUCAGUCCUGUGAGUAGGGUGUGGGUGGCACAGGCCCUGUUAGGGCAGCCGAUGGACAGAGAGCAAGAGAACAGCCAUCUUGAGUGGCCUGACCCUACAGGACACAUCUUGCUAAGGGAUGCACAAAAUAAAUCCAGACAAAACCCAGAUGCUUGCAGACAGUUCCAAGCUCUGGCGGCCGGAUGCCAAAAAGCUGAAUGCAAUUCCUGGGGCAUUUCCUUACUAUCUGAGCCACCAGGGAAGCCCCGCUUUUAUACGAGAAGUGGACAUAACUCUCCUUCUGUCAGGCCAUUCAUGUCAGACUUUGAAUCAGUCUUAUCAGAUCUGCACCCCAAGCAAAGCUUUCUCAAUGAGCCCAGCAGAGAUCCUUAGAGAAGAGCCUUCAAGUGGGGUGAAGCUGAAUCCUGUCUUUAGCCUUGGUUCCCAAGAGCCUUAUUCUUUUAUACCAGCCUACACC
Long non-coding RNA from Bos taurus (domestic cattle), 463 nucleotides. Lineage: Eukaryota; Metazoa; Chordata; Mammalia; Artiodactyla; Bovidae. The record is from Ensembl.